CUACGGGCGGCAGCAGUGGGGAAUAUUGCACAAUGGGCGCAAGCCUGAUGCAGCCAUGCCGCGUGUAUGAAGAAGGCCUUCGGGUUGUAAAGUACUUUCAGCGGGGAGGAAGGGAGUAAAGUUAAUACCUUUGCUCAUUGACGUUACCCGCAGAAGAAGCACCGGCUAACUCCGUGCCAGCAGCCGCGGUAAUACGGAGGGUGCAAUCGUUAAUCGUAAUUACUGGGCGUAAAGCGCACGCAGGCGGUUUGUUAAGUCAGAUGUGAAAUCCCCGGGCUCAACCUGGGAACUGCAUCUGAUACUGGCAAGCUUGAGUCUCGUAGAGGGGGGUAGAAUUCCAGGUGUAGCGGUGAAAUGCGUAGAGAUCUGGAGGAAUACCGGUGGCGAAGGCGGCCCCCUGGACGAAGACUGACGCUCAGGUGCGAAAGCGUGGGGAACAAACAGGAUUAGAUACCCGGGUAGUC
This 464-nucleotide ribosomal RNA is filed under the name uncultured bacterium. RNAcentral describes it as "partial 16S ribosomal RNA". It matches the Rfam family "Bacterial small subunit ribosomal RNA", at positions 339 to 795 of the family's 1533-position model. The record is from RNAcentral.